UUGUUUGUUUGUUUUUCGGGUUUUGUUUAGUUUUUUCUUGGAGAUUAUCGGCCUCUUGUUCGAGAUACUCAUGGAAACGUUCUCGAUCAGGUAAAUAAAAUGAUGUAAGUGCUUUUAUUUAGUUUUAGUCCUGAGUGUUGUUCUUUUCCGGUAUUGUUCUUGCAAAAACUGAGUAUCUUUCUUUUACAGGAAACUCAGUUGCCUCCUCAUCAAAGGAAUCUUCAAGAUCUCUUGUGCGAUGCAAGUAAGCUGGUGACUUCGCACCUCGUCCAACUUAUUUUUCUGUUUCAUUUUCAGGCUUGAUUCCCUAUCCAGAACCUUAUCAAAGCUCGUACCAGCAACGUCGUCUGGGACUCCUAGGUUGCUACUGGCAACCACCAUCAGUUCAGCUCGCAGUGGGAACGUUUGAUGAUCCAGUGUUCAUUCCUCAAGAUCAGCCUCAAGCAGUAGUUGCCGCUCUACAAGCAAUCGAGCAAACAAACGAGCAAGGCAACAGAUGGGUAGAACAACCGGCGGAUGGUGAGGCAAUGGACUGGGAUGAAGAAGUCACUGGAUUGAGUGACGAUUCUGGUUCUGAUUACUGCGCGAGCGAAGAAAGCUCGAGUGACGAGGAUGGAAAUGAAGAAAGUGGUACGAUCUGUGAAUCGGAAACAACCGACAAAGAAAUUGACGAAAUUGAUUCUGAUGGGGUUCGUAACCGAAGAAGAAGGAAAAAGAAGAGAGAGGUACGUACGUCCAGCUUUUGCGUCUCUGAUAACUUCAAUGGUGAUUGUCCACUACAGAUACUCGCAACCUUGGUGAGGAAGCAAAAGCGCAGGCGCUUGGAGGAGUCAAACAAUGCUCUUGUGAUGCCUGAGGAAACGCAGAGGUUGAGGUCUAGAAAGCGGAUAAGAAAGUCAAACCCGGACCAUGCAUUGAGGCCUAUGAGGAUGGCAGCUCGGAAUGCCUUGACCAUGUUUUCGAGCUUACAUGAGUACGAAGACGACGAAGCACGCCGCCUGGCCGCUGAGGAUGCCAAAAGACCUGGUACAUCUGGAGAGAACGAGAACCAGAGGCUUCUACGCAACGGGAAAGUUCUUACAGAAACUCAGGAACCUGAAGACGAUGAACCUCCGAAGAAGAGUCCCGCAGAGACUUCGGACGUGGGUGAAUGCAGGCGGCCAAGGUCUCAGCGAAAGUUAGUACUCAAGUUGAGAAACUGUGCACAAACGUCCAACAACGAGGAUACUUUUCGGAGCCUCGAAAUACCAGAACAAGGCACUUCUAAGGUCCCCGUGGCCGAGGCUAAUGACAGUCAUCCAGAAACAGAUGGUUUUAUCGCGGACGAGAAUCCCACUGAAGCUGUUUCGUCUGACGACAAACAGGGAUACAUAUGGAAGAAGGGGAAAGCAGCCAAGCGUGCUCGCAUGCCUUAUCACAGCAGCAGCAGCAGCUCCGAAGAGGAUAAACUGGUAGACGUUCCUUGCGAUAUCAAGAAAGGCUUUGAAGCGACUCGUGUAGAAAAUGGAGACACAAAGGUGGUGGCAAGGGCGAUCAUUAGCGAGUCCGAGUCGGAGAGGUCUCUUUCAGCUGACUACCUUGACGAACAGCAGAGACGAGAGCAGAAUCACACUCUUAUGAGCAAUGAGUCCUUACAGAAUGGAGAAGCUCCAGAUGGUGACAAUGACCCUGAUUACCACGAAGAGGUUUCACCAGGCAGUAACAGUGAGUCGCUGGAGGAUGCUUACAAGCCCGAGGAAGAGCAGGCAAGUGAGGACCUGGACGUGGACGAUAUACAAAUGAAGCGCAAUAUGAACAAGGCCGUCUACUCAAGGAGAAGGCCUCGCAAAGUUGCGACUCGGACCGAGUGUUAUGAGGCCGACGAGCACGCUUCAGGUGGCCGCAGGAGAAGUACACGGCUGGCGCAGGGUCGCGUGGUUAGUCUCUCCAACAGCAGGUCCACAAGAAGCAGGAGAAACGUCGGCCGUCCCUCACACUGGGAAGCUAGCUCGUCUUACGACGACUCGGACUGGGAUCGAAGCAGCGACGACAAUGGACGCCGAAAGCCCGAAAGAAGAACUUCGAGCAGACUUAAAGUGAAGCUGCAGAAGAACGUGGGGUCGAGGUACAAGGAUUUCCACGUGAGGAGAAACUUGAGCACGGUGCAUCGGAGUCCGAGCAACGUGUCCUGGUUACUCUUGACAGAGGUGGAGCGGACGCGCUACAUCCCACAGUAUGGUGAUGAGGUGGUGUACUUCCGACAGGUAAGAGAUCCAGUCUUGAAUUAUGUUUGAAUUGAAACUGUCGAUCGCAGGGACAUCAAGACUACUUAGACAACAAGCGGCUCGACGACGAUGGUCCCUGGAGAAGCGUGAAAAGGGAACUGCAAGCGGUCGAGUUCUGCGAGAUCACCGGACUGGAGUACAUCAUUCUCGAAGUGUCGGGGAACACUUGUUGCCGGCUGACUCUCGAGUUCAUGGACGGGUACAGGAUUCGCGGCAGCAGCUUCAGCGUCGACUUGCCGGAGCUGACAGACUUCGCCGACUUUAUAGUGGAGAAAAGCCGCUACGAGGCCUCCAUGGCUAGGAAGUGGUCCAGUCGGGACAAGUGCCAAGUGUGGUGGAGGUCGGACGAGGAAGAAGGUGGUCGCUGGUGGGAAGGGACGAUAACUCAGGUGAAGGCAAAGUCGCCCGAGUUUCCAAACAGCCCCUGGGACAGCAUCAGUGUGCUGUACAAGGACGAGCCAUCGACGACGAACCACUGCCCCUGGGAGCUUCACGACGUUGAGAAUCCUUUAACUUGGGAGUCGCCACAGAUCGAGCAGGACAAGGUGCGUGAGCUGCUCGACAUCGUGGACGAGGUGCUCCACUCGAACCAAUCCAAGGUUUGUUUUUGCGCGAUCGAUCAUAGACGUGAGGAAGGUUUUGCUUUUGCUUUUGGCUUGACGAGCUUUUGCUUUUCGCAGGACGAGUAUGGCUUGUGGAGGUUGCAGCAGGCCGUGAGCAAGCCGGAUUUUCUUGACAGGCAAGUUGGAAAAAUCUCUUGCGAUUGAGAAAGAAGCUAAAGGUUUUCAAUCAAUGCAGGAUUGCGCUACCAAUCUCCAUGGACGUGAUUCGCGAGCGGCUGGAGAACAACUAUUAUCGUAGCGUGAUGGCGGUGUCACACGAUCUUAGGAUACUGAUCGACAACUUCCGGACAUAUUUUGGGAAACAGCAUUCGUCGGUGCUCAAGGUGGAGCGGCUGAGAGAACGCUUCUCUGAGGCACUGCAAAUGUGAGCUUUGUAAAAAUUUCCUCGAGGUCUUAGUUAACGAAGAAUAGAAACAUUUUCCUUACACAUCCAUCUACAUUGUCAAACACGAGAUUAUUCCGAGGAUCACUCUCAUACCUGGAAAACCAUGAGGAAGAAGGAAGUCGAGGAGAUGGGGCGCCAUUCUUCUCCUCUUCCUCCUCCUCUUGUCAUCGAGGCCGCGUGGAAAUCGCGAGAAUCCACUGACAAGGAACUCGAGUUCCCGCCAGACCACUGUACGAACGGCGGCCCACCAAGAAAGUGGCCAGUGGCCCAUUGUACGUAACAUUGCCUUUAUUCCAAAAAAGGGAUCGCUAGCAUAGGGUUCUUGCGAAGAUAGGGCGGGUGGCUCGAAAUUCUGGUAAGCGUCAUUCCGUCUUGCAAAGCUGCUGCAAACCCCGAUUUCUCGCAGCUGCAAAGCCUUGUUGCGGACCUGGCGAUGGAAUUUCUGAUUGCGAUGGUGCUUGUUAGCACCAUUGCGAUCAGUGUGCUGUGCAUCGUGACCACAGCUUGUGUGCUGGUGCUGGCAUCUGCCAUGCGUGCAGGAAUGGGAGCCGUGACUGAGAAUCUCCAGGUGAUGGCCUCUGGCAUUCAUGCGGCAGUGAGGGCGGACGUGCAAGGGAUCCAUGGUGCAGUGAGGGAGGAUGUGCCAGCAAUCCGUGGAGCCAUAAAGGAAGACGUUGUUGCUGUGGUUGGAGCAGGAAUGGGAUCCAUCCGUGCAGCAGUGAGGGAGGUCCAUGGUGCCUUGAAGGAGGACUUUGUUGCUGUGGUUGGAGCACUGAAUGUUGCGGCUAUGCGUGCUGCAAUCAAGGAGGACCUCCAGGCACUUCACGACACAGUGAAGGAGGAUGUUAUAGCAGCCCACAACCAAGUCAUGAUCGACUGUUCCACAUCCCUCUAUCAGGUAAGCAUUUGUUAGAUCUAGAUUUUGUGCGGCCUUUAAAAUACUGGAUCAGGGUUUGGAUGGCUUGAUCCAGUCGUGUGCAAAGAGCACAGUGGUGGGUAAGUGGCGCUGCUGCUGGUUCAAUGAUCAGUAGUUGAUUCAUAGAAACGACAAAGCUGUUCUUUUUUUUUCUCAGGAAAAAUUUUUCUGAUUCGGAUCUUCGUUCUUCGAAAUAAAAAGGCUCAUAUGUCGUGAGCUUCUGAUAGUAAGUCUUUUUCCGGGCAAGAACAUACACAUGAACGUGGUCUGGCAUUGUCUAAUUGGUACUUCCUUGUAGGUGGAUGAGUGUAACUAUUUAUUCAGGAGACUAUUUAUUCAGGAGGUCCUUUGGAGCUGCGGAUAUCGCAUAUAGUCACUCGGUUCAAAUGCUUUGUAUGGUAACGGAACAUUCAAUCGAAGCUUUCAAGUUUUCUGUCUUCAAGUAGACUCGGGUGCAAUCUUCAUGCAGCUUAGCUAACCUCUCGUGCAGACUGACUAACAUUCGUGGCUUUACGGUCUGAUGUUGGAGUUGAUCAUCACCUGCAUGAACAAGACGAGGAGAUCGAGUUGGGGAAGUUAUCAUGCACUUCCUGAGGAGAGGCCCUUACGAGAGAGCCACUGACUAGCUCUGGAACGAGCUCCUACAGCACAAGCUCUUGCCCCGGAGGUACCAUCAGGAAUGGAACGCCCCCCGCCGACGAGAAUGACGAUGGUUUGUCGUUCCCACUCAGCUACGCGCAAGUUGCCGAGAGGUAUUGUGUGUCGCCAAGUUCUUUGUUUUCGGUUUGUCUUGCUGACAAAAGGAUGGAUUUUUUUUUUUCGAUUUUCAGAUAUAAGAACGUUGACAACAACCACUUGGUUAAGCUCUUGCAGCAACUACUUGUUCACGACAAGUCCGCGUCCUUGCUUUAUGCGAAAGUUCCCAAGCAAUUGACCGCCGCGGACGUUCCUACGCUUUUGGGGUCAGGAGCAUUCUCGCUUUUGGAAUGUAAGCCGUGUGCUUUUCGAAUCUUGCCGUUGCUGAUCCGAGCAAACUUCAUACAGCGGAGCAAAGCAAUGCUACUAGUAUCUCUACCAAGAGAAUAGAACAAAUGCGAUGGCCGCAUUGGCAAGCUGACCAAGUUCAUGCUCUCGCGUUCCGUGAACUUGGUGGUGGAUUUGCAAAGCAUCACAGACCGCCAUCCACACGGACUGUGAAACAUGUUAUCAUCAAGCCUUCUGUACUGGUGAACAGAAUAAGAAUCAUCCAGGUGCUAAGGGGUCAUCGUAAUGCGGUAUAUUGUGGUACGUGUUUCUUUUCUUUUUGAUUUUCAAGACCUAUUAACGAAGCGAUAAACGUGCAGCCGUUUUUGAUCGUACUGGACGGUAUCUUGUCACUGGCUCGGACGACCGGCUUGUGAAGAUAUGGUCCGUAGAAAAUAGACUUUGCCUUCGUAGCUGUAGAGGACACGAGGUACUAUUUUCUGCAUCCGUUUCGAAUAUUGUGCUUAAAACCUGGCUUUUAGGGGGAUAUAACCGAUUUGUCUGUAAGUAGUUCGAACACUCUAGUUGCAUCAGCUUCUAACGAUUCCUCCAUCCGUGUUGUAAGUAUUCCUUUGUUGUGUUUUUGUUUCUUCUUUUGAUUUAUUUCGCUUCUGCCUAUAGUGGGGAUUACCAGAUGGUGUUCCGGUUGCAAUACUUCGUGGCCACACGGCGGGCGUAACGGCCAUCAAAUUUAGUCCUCGACCGGGCUGUGAGCACCAUCUUCUAUCGUAAGUGUUAAUAAUUUGGUUUUUCCACUAUACUUGUAUUAAAAUCUCGUGGUUUCAAGUUCGUCUGAAGACGGAACAUGCCGUAUUUGGGAUGCUCGGGAUUCUUCUGUCAAUUCACGUGUCUACAUGCCGAAGCCGGAUGUCGAACCCGAAUGUAAAGAGUCUGCCGGUGUUUUUUUGGUCUUCUAAAAGCUUGUUUCCAGCUGCAGGAGCUGAGAAUCGAGCACAGGCUACAAAUCAGAUUCAGUGCUGUGCGUUUAAUGCAGAUGGCUCAUACUUUGUCACUGGGAGUUCGGACAAGCUUGCCAGGGUAAGCAUUUAAAGUGGACUUUUUAUAUUUCUGACAAUUGUUGGAACAGGUUUGGGACGCAAGAAAGUGGGCGGACGAGUACACUGGAAGGCCAAAUCAUGAGCAUGACAUUCUUAGUGGACACGAGAAUGUAGUUAACUACGUGCAGUUCAGGUUCGCCUCUUUGGCUUGGUCCUCGUUGACAUCAAUCGUCCUUUGUUCCAGUGGUUGUGCAGAGCCAAUCAAAGUUUCUCCCGUCGACUUUUUGAAGGAUGACAACGUCCCUGACAACAUACCGAAGUUCAAAACAACCUGGUAUACUGUGCCGCUCAUUGCUAUCUGGUUUUAACGUUGGUUUUGUUCAGGUUUCCUCAAGAUAGCAUAGUUACUUGCUCAAGAGACGGCACUGCUAUUAUCUGGUCUCCUCGUCCUAGGAAACAGGUGUGCAUGGCCUUUCUUUCUGUGUAACUAAUGCCAUGACUGCUCCUCUUUCCUCCAGCUGAAGCUAGGUCGAUGGGUGAAAGCUUAUCAUUUGAAAGUACCGCCCCCUCCGAUGCCACAGCCUCCCCUUCGAACUGGUGGACCUCGACAAAAACUGCUUCCGACUCCUCGAGGUGUUAAUAUGAUAGUCUGGAGUUUGGACAAUCGUUUUGUACUCGCCGCGAUUAUGGGUAAGAUACCUCACGAACUAAUUUUAUGGAAUAACAUGGAUGUGCAGAUUGCCGGAUAUGUGUUUGGAAUGCGGUUGAUGGCAGUCUGGUGCACUGUUUAACCGGCCAUACCAAGCAGGUAUUGAAAUGGAAUGUAUUGAUUUCAUUCUUUCUUAACAACUGUUAUUUAGACUUACGUGCUAGAUGUACAUCCAUGCAAUCCUCGCAUUGCAAUGAGUGCGGGCUACGAUGGCCGAGUUAUUGUGUGGGAUGUAAGUGUAUUCGCUCAAAAAAAAUGAUCACGAAUUUUGUUUUAGAUCUGGGAGGGCCGUCCAGUAAGGACAUUUGAGACGGGAGAUUAUAAUCUUGUCGAUGGCAACUUUUCACCGUAAGCUUGUUCUCAUAUCCAUAUACUGUUCUCAUGUUUGCCAAUUUUCAGGGAUGGAACCUCAUUGGUUGUUUCCGAUGAGGUCGGCCAGGUCUACCUUUUUUCUACGGGAGCACCAAGUCAAGACGACGAAGAUGCGAAAUACGACCAGGUAUCAGGAAGAUUAGCUUCAGAUCCUUCUCCUAACAGCUUUUUGUUUGUUUGUUUGUUUGUUUGUUUUUCGGGUUCUGUGUAGUUUUUUCUUGGAGAUUAUCGGCCUCUUGUUCGAGAUACUCAUGGAAACGUUCUCGAUCAGGUAAAUAAAAAUGAUGUAAGUGCUUUUAUUUAGUUUUAGUCCUGAGUGUUGUUCUUUUCCGGUAUUGUUCUUGCAAAAACUGAGUAUCUUUCUUUUACAGGAAACUCAGUUGCCUCCUCAUCAAAGGAAUCUUCAAGAUCUCUUGUGCGAUGCAAGUAAGCUGGUGACUUCUCACCUCGUCCAACUUAUUUUUCUGUUUCAUUUUCAGGCUUGAUUCCCUAUCCAGAACCUUAUCAAAGUUCGUACCAGCAACGUCGUCUGGGACUCCUAGGUUGCUACUGGCAACCACCGUCAGUUCAGCUCGCAGUGGGAACGUUUGAUGAUCCAGCGUUCAUUCCUCAAGAUCAGCCUCAAGCAGUAGUUGCCGCUCUACAAGCAAUCGAGCAAACAAACGAGCAAGGCAACAGAUGGGUAGAAAAACCGGCGGAUGGUGAGGCAAUGGACUGGGAUGAAGAAGUCACUGGAUUGAGUGACGAUUCUGGUUCUGAUUACUGCGCGAGCGAAGAAAGCUCGAGUGACGAGGAUGGAAAUGAAGAAAGUGGUACGAUCUGUGAAUCGGAAACAACCGACAAAGAAAUUGACGAAAUCGAUUCUGAUGGGGUUCGUAACCGAAGAACAAGGAAAAAGAAGAGAGAGGUACGUACGUCCAGCUUUUGCGUCUCUGAUAACUUCAAUGGUGAUUGUCCACUACAGAUACUCGCAACCUUGGUGAGGAAGCAAAAGCGCAGGCGCUUGGAGGAGUCAAACAAUGCUCUUUUGAUACCUGAGGAAACGCAGAGGUUGAGGUCUAGAAAGCGGAUAAGAAAGUCAAACCCGGACCAUGCAUUGAGGCCUAUGAGGAUGGCAGCUCGG
Molecule: long non-coding RNA, 8413 nt
Filed under: Selaginella moellendorffii
Lineage: Eukaryota; Viridiplantae; Streptophyta; Lycopodiopsida; Selaginellales; Selaginellaceae
Description: long non-coding RNA (SMOE_LNC000075)
Source: RNAcentral